UACAGAGGUCCCAAGCGUUGUUCGGAUUCACUGGGCGUAAAGGGUGCGUAGGUGGCCAGGUAAGUUCGGUGUGAAAGCUCGGAGCUUAACUCCGAAAUGUCAUUGAAUACUAUCUGGCUUGAGGGUCGGAGGGGAGACUGGAAUUCUCGGUGUAGCAGUGAAAUUCGUAGAUAUUCGGAAGAACACCAGUGGCGAAGGCGAGUCCCUGGACAAUUCCUGACACUGAGGCACGAAAGCUAGGGGAGCAAACAGG
This 253-nucleotide ribosomal RNA is filed under the name uncultured bacterium. Its description in RNAcentral is "partial 16S ribosomal RNA". It matches the Rfam family "Bacterial small subunit ribosomal RNA", at positions 524 to 776 of the family's 1533-position model. The record is from RNAcentral.